Herpailurus yagouaroundi (jaguarundi) is the source of this 661-nucleotide long non-coding RNA. RefSeq lists it as uncharacterized. The record is from RefSeq and is a predicted model, not a curated record. Lineage: Eukaryota; Metazoa; Chordata; Mammalia; Carnivora; Felidae. The transcript is spliced from 3 exons.
UCUCUCUGCCACCCCUCCCCCCCGCCUGCCUGCCGUUUGCGCUCUCUCAAAAAUAAACCUUAAAAAAAAAAUGGCCUGUGUUGAAAUAAGAACUUUUGUUUAUGUGACAGAAUGGAAAGACAAACCACAAAAGGGACAAAGAUACAGAUACAUCCUACAAAGGAGAUACGUCUCUCUCUCUCUCUCACGAUCUAUGUCACAUGUCACCUUGAUAUAGAUCUAUCUUUCAAGCGAUCCAGGUUAUAUGAAGAAUUCCCGUACAUCAGAAAGAAGAAAGAUGACUUACAAAAUAAUGGGCAAAAGAUAUGAACCGGCAUUUUUUAGAAAAUAAUGUAGAAAUGGAGAAUAAACAUGAAAAGAGGCUCAUUAGUAAUGAAAGAUCAAAUUAGGAUCAUAAUGAGCUAUUCUUUUAUACCCAUCAGGAAAAAUGAAGACUCAAUAUCAGGUGUUGAUGAGGAUGUGGAACAAUAGGAACGAUCACACACCACUGGUCUCUCCAAUUCCAGUCUCUCUCAAGGAAUGAAAAGCAGUAGCAGAGUCUCCAGUCUUCUUCUGGGACUUAAUGGAUGACUCAGAGGUCCUCUGUCUGUGUCCGCUGUGGUUUAUCUGGGACUCUGAACUGAGAGAGACAGAGCAUGAACGGGGGAGGGGCAGAGAGAGA